Long non-coding RNA from Pipistrellus kuhlii (Kuhl's pipistrelle), 599 nucleotides. RefSeq lists it as uncharacterized. The record is from RefSeq and is a predicted model, not a curated record. The transcript has 2 exons. Lineage: Eukaryota; Metazoa; Chordata; Mammalia; Chiroptera; Vespertilionidae.
ACCUACUUCUCUCUGGGUUAUUUUGACAGCUACGCCGUGGCUCUGGAGGGUGUGGGCCAUUUCUUACGCAAGUUGGCAGAGAAGAAGCACGAGGGUGCUGAGCAUCUCUUAAAGUUGCAAAACAAGCGUGGCAGCCGCGUUCUCUCCCAAGAUAUACAGAAACCUUCCUAAGAUGACUGGGACAAAAUUCAGGACACCAUGGAAGCUGCCCUGGCCUUGGAGAGGAACCUGAACCAAGCCCUUUUGGAGCUGCAGGCUCUGGGUUCUACCUGUGCAGACCAUCAUCUCUGCAACUUCCUGGAGGACCACUUCCUGGAUGAGGAGGUGAAACUCAUCAAGAAGAUGGGCAACCACCUGACUAACAUCCGCAGGCUGGCUAACCCCCUGGCUGGGCUGGGUGCCUAUCUCUUUGAAAGGCUCACCCUCAAGCACAACUAGGAGCCUUUGGAGCCCAGAGGCCUUUCAGAGGCCCCUCUGCAUCCCCCUGGUGUCUCUGGCUUUUACCUGAGCCUCUUUCCGAAACUACUAGUCAUUCUUUUAACCACCAUGGAGCCCUCUCCCAUGCAUUGGACCAAAUGAAACAUCAAAGUUUUUUGCAG